ACUCCUACGGGAGGCAGCAGUGGGGAAUAUUGCACAAUGGGCGCAAGCCUGAUGCAGCCAUGCCGCGUGUAUGAAGAAGGCCUUCGGGUUGUAAAGUACUUUCAGCAGUGAGGAAGGUGGGUAUGUUAAUAGCAUAUUCAUUUGACGUUAGCUGCAGAAGAAGCACCGGCUAACUCCGUGCCAGCAGCCGCGGUAAUACGGAGGGUGCGAGCGUUAAUCGGAAUUACUGGGCGUAAAGCGCAUGCAGGUGGUUUGUUAAGUCAGAUGUGAAAGCCCGGGGCUCAACCUCGGAAUUGCAUUUGAAACUGGCAAACUAGAGUACUGUAGAGGGGGGUAGAAUUUCAGGUGUAGCGGUGAAAUGCGUAAGAGAUCUGAAGGAAUACCGGUGGCGAAGGCGGCCCCCUGGACAGAUACUGACACUCAGAUGCGAAAAGCGUGGGGAGCAAACAGGAUUAGAUACCCUGGUAGGCGU
RNAcentral lists this ribosomal RNA (472 nucleotides) under uncultured bacterium. Its description in RNAcentral is "bacterial SSU rRNA". It matches the Rfam family "Bacterial small subunit ribosomal RNA", at positions 335 to 797 of the family's 1533-position model. The record is from RNAcentral.